RNAcentral lists this ribosomal RNA (301 nucleotides) under uncultured bacterium. RNAcentral describes it as "partial 16S ribosomal RNA". It matches the Rfam family "Bacterial small subunit ribosomal RNA", at positions 509 to 807 of the family's 1533-position model. The record is from RNAcentral.
CAGUCGCCGCGGUAAUACGUAGGUGGCAAGCGUUGUCCGGAAUUAUUGGGCGUAAAGGGCUCGCAGGCGGUUUCUUAAGUCUGAUGUGAAAGCCCCCGGCUCAACCGGGGAGGGUCAUUGGAAACUAGGAAACUUGAGUGCAGAAGAGGAGAGUGGAAUUCCGCGUGUAGCGGUGAAAUGCGUAGAGAUGUGGAGGAACACCAGUGGCGAAGGCGACUCUCUGGUCUGUAACUGACGCUGAGGAGCGAAAGCGUGGGGAGCGAACAGGAUUAGAUACCCCUGUAGUCCCUGUCUCUUAUAC